This 427-nucleotide ribosomal RNA is filed under the name uncultured Paenibacillus sp. Its description in RNAcentral is "bacterial SSU rRNA". It matches the Rfam family "Bacterial small subunit ribosomal RNA", at positions 355 to 774 of the family's 1533-position model. Lineage: Bacteria; Bacillati; Bacillota; Bacilli; Caryophanales; Paenibacillaceae. The record is from RNAcentral.
UAGGGAAUCUUCCGCAAUGGACGCAAAGUCUGACGGAGCAACGCCGCGUGAGUGAGGAAGGUCUUCGGAUCGUAAAGCUCUGUUGCCAGGGAAGAAAAGCGAGGGGAGUCACUGCCCUUCGUGUGACGGUACCUGAGAAGAAAGCCCCGGCUAACUACGUGCCAGCAGCCGCGGUAAUACGUAGGGGGCAAGCGUUGUCCGGAAUUAUUGGGCGUAAAGCGCGCGCAGGCGGUCGAUUGAGUCGGGUGGUUAAGCCCGGGGCUCAACCCCGGGUCACACCGGAAACGGGUCGACUGGAGGGCAAAAGAGGAGAGUGGAAUUCCACGUGUAGCGGUGAAAUGCGUAGAGAUGUGGAGGAACACCAGUGGCGAAGGCGACUCUCUGGAUUGUCACUGACGCUGAGGCGCGAAAGCGUGGGGAGCAAACA